Molecule: ribosomal RNA, 447 nt
Filed under: uncultured bacterium
Lineage: Bacteria
Description: bacterial SSU rRNA
Rfam family: Bacterial small subunit ribosomal RNA
Source: RNAcentral
UGGGGAAUUUUGGGCAAUGGGCGAAAGCCUGACCCAGCAACGCCGCGUGAAGGAUGAAGUAUUUCGGUAUGUAAACUUCGUAAGAAUAGGAAGAAUAAAUGACGGUACUAUUUGUAAGGUCCGGCUAACUACGUGCCAGCAGCCGCGGUAAUACGUAGGGACCAAGCGUUGUUCGGAUUUACUGGGCGUAAAGGGCGCGUAGGCGGUUUGUCAAGUCAGUUGUGAAAUCUCCGAGCUUAACUCGGAACGGUCAACUGAUACUGUCAAACUAGAGUACAGAAGGGGCAAUCGGAAUUCUUGGUGUAGCGGUGAAAUGCGUAGAUAUCAAGAGGAACACCUGAGGUGAAGACGGGUUGCUGGGCUGACACUGACGCUGAGGCGCGAAAGCCAGGGGAGCAAACGGGAUUAGAUACCCACGUAGUCCCUGAGCGGGCUGGCAAGGCGCAU